AUUGAACGCUGGCGGCAGGCCUAACACAUGCAAGUCGAGCGGAUGAAGGGAGCUUGCUCCUGGAUUCAGCGGCGGACGGGUGAGUAAUGCCUAGGAAUCUGCCUGGUAGUGGGGGAUAACGUCCGGAAACGGGCGCUAAUACCGCAUACGCCCUGAGGGAGAAAGUGGGGGAUCUUCGGACCUCACGCUAUCAGAUGAGCCUAGGUCGAAUUAGCUAGUUGGUGGGGUAAAGGCCUACCAAGGCGACGAUCCGUAACUGGUCUGAGAGGAUGAUCAGUCACACUGGAACUGAGACACGGUCCAGACUCCUACGGGAGGCAGCAGUGGGGAAUAUUGGACAAUGGGCGAAAGCCUGAUCCAGCCAUGCCGCGUGUGUGAAGAAGGUCUUCGGAUUGUAAAGCACUUUAAGUUGGGAGGAAGGGCAGUAAGUUAAUACCUUGCUGUUUUGACGGUACCAACAGAAUAAGCACCGGCUAACUUCGUG
This 484-nucleotide ribosomal RNA is filed under the name uncultured bacterium. RNAcentral describes it as "partial 16S ribosomal RNA". It matches the Rfam family "Bacterial small subunit ribosomal RNA", at positions 30 to 507 of the family's 1533-position model. The record is from RNAcentral.